Molecule: long non-coding RNA, 499 nt
Organism: Sphaerodactylus townsendi
Lineage: Eukaryota; Metazoa; Chordata; Lepidosauria; Squamata; Sphaerodactylidae
Exons: 2
Source: RefSeq, a predicted model, not a curated record
GGAAAACGGCUGGCAGAGACCUAUCAAAAGGGACGAGGGAAGGGAAAGAGAAAAAAGCCCCACCCCGUACCCACCCAGCGACACCUGGGGUAGCGCCACAAGUGCCAGUAGCCCCAGGAAACGCCGAAGCUGCAGACGCUCCCGCGAAAACCGUUGCAUGGCGCUGAACUGCGGACAUGAAGCGACCCCCACUGCGCAUGCGGCAGAUCAAACAUAUCCACAGACAACCACAUAGCUGCAUGACAUACUUCCUGCAGGGGAAUUCCACCUCUAAAUGCAGCCAAAGAAGCCUGAGCCCUCAUCAAAUGAGCAUGUAUCUCCAGAGGACAUGGCACCUUUGCCAAUUUACAGCACACCUUUGUAAUGGACACUAUCCACCUGGACAAAGUCUGAGUAAAUGCUUUCCUCCCCUUUGAAGGAUCCACAUUUGACACAAGUAAAGUCAUAUUUUUCCCAGGUGCCUUGAUUCUUUGUAAAUAAAACAGCAAUGCCUUCCUAA